RNAcentral lists this ribosomal RNA (484 nucleotides) under uncultured bacterium. RNAcentral's name for it is "bacterial SSU rRNA". It matches the Rfam family "Bacterial small subunit ribosomal RNA", at positions 1 to 525 of the family's 1533-position model. The record is from RNAcentral.
GGCGAUUGGGCCGACAGAGUUUGAUCCUGGCUCAGAGCGAACGCUGGCGGCAGGCCUAACACAUGCAAGUCGAGCGCCCCGCAAGGGGAGCGGCAGACGGGAGAGUAACACGUGGGAACGUACCCUUCAGUUCGGAACAACCCAGGGAAACUUGGGCUAAUACCGGAUACGUCCGUAAGGAGAAAGAUUUAUCGCUGAAGGAUCGGCCCGCGUCUGAUUAGCUAGUUGGUGGGGUAAUGGCCCACCAAGGCGACGAUCAGUAGCUGGUCUGAGAGGAUGAUCAGCCUCACUGGGACUGAGACACGGCCCAGACUCCUACGGGAGGCAGCAGUGGGGAAUCUUGGACAAUGGGGGCAACCCUGAUCCAGCAAUGCCGCGUGAGUGAUGAAGGCCUUAGGGUUGUAAAGCUCUUUCGCCCGCGACGAUGAUGACGGUAGCGGGAGAAGAAGCCCCGGCUAACUUCGUGCCAGCAGCCGCGGUAAUA